This 374-nucleotide ribosomal RNA is filed under the name uncultured Glomeromycotina. Its description in RNAcentral is "LSU rRNA". The record is from RNAcentral. Lineage: Eukaryota; Fungi; Glomeromycota.
UUGAAAGGGAAACGAUUGAAGUCAGUCGUACCAGCGGGAAAUCAACCUUUCGAGUGGGGGUUUGGAGUUUUGAAGUGUGUCAAAACCUUUGAGAUUUUAAAAUUUUCGCUCUUUUGGUGUACUUUCUCGUGGGUAGGUUAACAUCGAUUUUGAUCAUCAUAAAAAGACUGGAGGAAUGUAGCUUCGAUCUUGUAUUGAAGUGUUAUAGCCUUUGGUAAAUGUGAUGAUUAGGAUCGAGGAUUGCAACGAAUACCCUUCUGGGCUAUCCGCCUGAUCUCUGAUACGUGGCCUUGGCAUCGAAAGCUUGCUUAUGGUAUCAAGGUAUUACGGUCAAAAGGUUAGAACGGAUUACAUUCGUUAAGGAUGUUGACGUA